GAGGGCACAAACAACGAAGAAGAGUUUCGUUCUCCGAUGCGCCAUCGGGGAGAGUGACGAAGGGUGUAAGAAACACAAAGGGGGGAAAUGAAAUGAUCUCUCAAAGAAAUUAUUCAGAGUUCGUGGAAUCGAUCACAGAUCAACAAGGCACAUUACUGGAUUUUUCACGAAGAUCAAACGAACUUGCUUCUUGUCUCUGUCUCUCUCUCUGAAUCCAAAUCUUCGCUCUGGAAUUCAGAGCCGGAGUCGCCGCCUGAACUUGGUCGUCGAGUCGAUUCCACCGAAACAAAAA
This is a long non-coding RNA of Cucurbita maxima (winter squash), 292 nucleotides long. RefSeq lists it as uncharacterized. The transcript has 2 exons. The record is from RefSeq and is a predicted model, not a curated record. NCBI's taxonomy places the organism in Eukaryota, Viridiplantae, Streptophyta, Magnoliopsida, Cucurbitales, Cucurbitaceae.